GUCCACGCUGUAAACGAUGGAUACUAGGUGUGGGGACUGACCCCUCCGUGCCGCAGUUAACACAAUAAGUAUCCCACCUGGGGAGUACGAUCGCAAGGUUGAAACUCAAAGGAAUUGACGGGGGCCCGCACAAGCGGUGGAGUAUGUGGUUUAAUUCGAAGCAACGCGAAGAACCUUACCAGGGCUUGACAUCCCGGCGACCGGUGUAGAGAUACACUUUCUUCUUCGGAAGCGCCGGUGACAGGUGGUGCAUGGUUGUCGU
This 262-nucleotide ribosomal RNA is filed under the name uncultured bacterium. RNAcentral's name for it is "partial 16S ribosomal RNA". It matches the Rfam family "Bacterial small subunit ribosomal RNA", at positions 793 to 1055 of the family's 1533-position model. The record is from RNAcentral.